GGAGAGAUGUCCGAGUGGUUUAUGGAGCUGGUCUUGAAAACCAGUGACUCCGCAAGGGGCCGGGGGUUCGAAUCCCUCUCUCUCCGCCA
RNAcentral lists this transfer RNA (89 nucleotides) under Clostridiaceae bacterium. Its description in RNAcentral is "tRNA-Ser". It matches the Rfam family "tRNA". Rfam says of the family: Transfer RNA (tRNA) molecules are approximately 80 nucleotides in length. Their secondary structure includes four short double-helical elements and three loops (D, anti-codon, and T loops). The record is from RNAcentral. RNAcentral also lists the same sequence under 1 other name. Lineage: Bacteria; Bacillati; Bacillota; Clostridia; Eubacteriales; Clostridiaceae.